UGAGUAUGCCAUGCGUUGGAAGG
RNAcentral lists this non-coding RNA (23 nucleotides) under Cricetulus griseus (Chinese hamster). Lineage: Eukaryota; Metazoa; Chordata; Mammalia; Rodentia; Cricetidae. The record is from RNAcentral.